UAACAUUCAUUUAUCUAUUUAAAUUUUAUUUAUAAUUUUAUACAUAUUUAUUUUACCAUUUAUUUAUAAUACCAUAUUUAUUUAUUAUUCAACGUUUGUGAAGUUUCCAGCUGUUGUUUAUUAAUUAGUAUAAUUAUUAGUAAUGCGUUAAUUUUGACUUUCAUUUGAUAUUUUUGUUUUUCAUCUAAGCAUUUAUACAAAAUGAAUGAAACUACAAAUAACGAUUUAGCGGUAAGACAUGCUGUACAAAAGUAUAUUGAAAAAAACAGUGAAAUAAUUAAGACAGUAAUAAAUAAUAAGAAUCGUAUACCAUCAGUAGAAUACAAAAAAAUAGGCAAUGAGUUACAUAUAUGUUUAGAGUAUUAUUUUAUACAAAAUAUAUUUAUUAAAGUAAAAUUAACUAGUGAUAAUUUUAAAUUAAGUUUUUUAGAUAAUGAAAAUAAUAAUAAUGAUAGUAGCAACGGAAUGUUUUGUGAGAAAAGGAAGGGGAAAAAAGAACAGUUUCCACAAGAUGUAGUAGAAUUGAAUAAACCAUGCAUAAAUGAUCCUACAGCUUUAUUAAAAAAUGACACAACAAAUGACACAAAAAAUGGCAUAAAUGACAUAAUAAAUGACAUAAAUGNNNNNNNNNNCACAAAAAAUGACACAAAAAAUGACACAAAAAAUGACACAAAAAAUGACAUAAAUGACAUAAUAAAUGACACAAAAAAUGACAUAAAAAAUGACAUAAAAAAUAAUUUUUUAAACAAAGACAAAAUAACCAAUAUAAACAGCAGUUCUGAAGAUAAUAAUGGAAUAAGUGAAAUAUAUGUACGUGACUGGAAUACAUCUAUAAAUAAAAAACAAAAUAGAACACUAAAAAAUUAUAUUAUUCUUUUAACUGGGACAUCGGGUCGCGGUAAGAGUACGUUAAGUUGCUUACUAGCAAUAUUGUUAAAUAUUAAAAGAAUUAUAUCAACUGAUGUAAUAAGAGAGAUGUUAAAAUUAUAUAAUGUAAAAAAUGUUCAGUUUCUCAAGUAUUCUACUUAUGAAUUAUGGAAAUUAAAUAGUAGUAAUGGAGAAGAAGAAACGAUUAAUGAAAAUGAUACUGGGAUCAUACAACUUUCGACUAGUAUAAAUGGAAAUAAAAAAACAGAGCAUAAAGAAAAUAUAUAUUAUAAAAAAAACCAUGAUAAUAAUCAACCAAAUGGACAUAGUAAUACUAUUACUAGCCCAAAUGGCUACCAUUAUCCUACAAAUAAUAGUAAUGAAGAUAUUCAUAAAACAUUAAUAAAUAAAUGUUUAAAAAAUUAUGCAAAACAAUGUGAUUUAUUAUUUAAUUAUAUUGAUUAUAUUAUUGAUGAUCAUGUAAAAAAUGAUGAAUCACUAAUUAUGGAAGGUGUACACCUAAAUUUAAAUAUCAUAGAUAAAUUAAUGCAAAAAUAUCCUAAUAAAAUCAUUUAUUUUUUAGUAUAUAUUAAUAAUAGAGAAACUAGUAUUCAAAGAUUUACCAACAGACUUAACGGUAAAACUCAAAAAGAAAAUAAAUAUAUUAAAAAUAUUAAUUACAUUGAUGAAAUACAGAAGUGUUUAAUAGAAACUUCCAAGAAAUUAAAACUACCAAUUCAUUAUGUGAAAAAUAUUGAUAUUUUCAAUUCGUUGGAAAGUAUAAUUAAACAUAUUUAUUUGUAUGCAUAACUAGUUAAUACAUGACUAAGCAGUGUAAGCGAUUGAGCUAAACAAGUGAGCACAAACAAGUGAGCAUAAACAAGUGAGCACAAACAAGUGAGCAUAAACAAGUGAGCAUAAACAAGUGAGCAUAAAUAAGUGAGCACAAACAAGUGAGCACAAACAAGUGAGCAUAAACAAGUGAGCAUAAACAAGUGAGCACAAACAAGUGAGCACAAACAAGUGAGCACAAACAAGUGCGCAUAAACAAGUGAGCACAAACAAGUGCGCAUAAACAAGUGAGCACAAACAAGUGAGCACAAACAAGUGAGCAUAAACAAGUGAGCACAAACAAGUGAGCAUAAACAAGUGAGCACAAACAAGUGAGCAUAAACAAGUGAGCAUAAACAAGUGAGCACAAACAAGUGAGCACAAACAAGUGAGCACAAACAAGUGAGCACAAACAAGUGCGCA
Piliocolobus tephrosceles (Ugandan red Colobus) is the source of this 2121-nucleotide long non-coding RNA. The record is from Ensembl. NCBI's taxonomy places the organism in Eukaryota, Metazoa, Chordata, Mammalia, Primates, Cercopithecidae.